RNA transcript from Nicotiana attenuata, 617 nucleotides. It is a transcript of the gene named glycine-rich protein-like, with no coding region annotated. Lineage: Eukaryota; Viridiplantae; Streptophyta; Magnoliopsida; Solanales; Solanaceae. The transcript has 2 exons. The record is from RefSeq and is a predicted model, not a curated record.
AUAACUAAGUUUUAACAAAAGAUGGGUUCCAAGGUAUUUCUGUUUCUUGGCCUUUGUUUGGCCAUUUUUCUAAUGAUAAGCUCUGAGGUUUUAGCUAGGGAGUUGGCUGAGACUUCCACCAUUUCAGAAGAGGGCUCGAAGAAACCCAAUAACAAGAAUGAAGUACAUGAAGCUCAAUACAGUUAUGUAGGAUACCCUGCCCCCGGAUACCCCGUUAGCCGAAACCCUGGCGGCGGAAUCCCCCCUUAGUGGUGGCGGACAUCCUGACGGCGACCGUGGUGGUGGUGGAUACCCCCGUGGGGGACAUGGUGGUGGUGGCUAUCCUGGCAGUGGACGUGGUGGUGGUGGACGCGGUGGUGGUGGAGGAUACUGCCGCUAUGGUUGCUGCGGCCGCCGGAAUUACAAUGGUUGCAGCAGGUGCUGCUCCUACAAAGGUGAGGCCAUCCAUGGAUAAUUAGGUCACUAUAUUGAAGCUAAGCCUCACAACUUAUCAUCAUGUGGAGCAAUAUAUAAAACUUUUGUACUUAGUAAAGCCUCAAGAUGUAAUAGUAAUAAUCUUGCAGCUUUUUAGAGCUUGUUGUAACAAGUUAUGAAUAAAAUUAAGUCAUCAUUUAAUA